Molecule: transfer RNA, 73 nt
Filed under: Mesocricetus auratus (golden hamster)
Lineage: Eukaryota; Metazoa; Chordata; Mammalia; Rodentia; Cricetidae
Rfam family: tRNA
About the family: Transfer RNA (tRNA) molecules are approximately 80 nucleotides in length. Their secondary structure includes four short double-helical elements and three loops (D, anti-codon, and T loops). Further hydrogen bonds mediate the characteristic L-shaped molecular structure. tRNAs have two regions of fundamental functional importance: the anti-codon, which is responsible for specific mRNA codon recognition, and the 3' end, to which the tRNAs corresponding amino acid is attached (by aminoacyl-tRNA synthetases). tRNAs cope with the degeneracy of the genetic code in two manners: having more than one tRNA (with a specific anti-codon) for a particular amino acid; and 'wobble' base-pairing, i.e. permitting non-standard base-pairing at the 3rd anti-codon position.
Source: Rfam by way of RNAcentral
UAUGAUGUAGCUCAGCUGGGAGAGUGUUUUUCUACCAUUCAGGAAGCCCUGGGUUCAAUCCCCAGCACCAUAU